RNAcentral lists this unclassified non-coding RNA (589 nucleotides) under Hevea brasiliensis (rubber tree). Lineage: Eukaryota; Viridiplantae; Streptophyta; Magnoliopsida; Malpighiales; Euphorbiaceae. The record is from RNAcentral.
AUUUUAUCUUACAACAAAUUAGGAAAAAUGUUAACAAAGGCAAGUUUCAUCUGUCGUUUCGCAAUUCAUUCUAUCCCUUCUACACAUACUAUACAUGACAGCAUAACAUAAUAGCCAAGGUAAUCUCAGUCCUUCAGACCAGAAAGGACUACGGUUAAACUAUUUUGGGACUCAAAAUGUGUAAAAGCGUCCACCUAGUUGGAGGGGUAACAAUAUAAGUAAACAUGGUGCAGUCGAUGAAGAAAAUAAUUACAGCCUAGAUGGGAAGUCUGAACCCUUUCUGGAAUGAAACUGAUCAUGUACCUCUAGAAAUGGCCAAGUCCCAUUCUCUGCAGCACACUUGUUAACAAAAGGUUUGCAUGUUUUAUCUUUCCUUUUCUCUUGCUGAUAAAUUGGAUUUCGGUGAAGCAGCAAGGAUUCUGCUUUCCUCAUCUAGCUUUCCUUGAUAGGUCAUUCCAAUCCAAUGCCGUAGCAACACAGGAAAUAAGUUUCCUUUCAACCCUUGGCACGAUAACUCAAUCAGCUUUGCCCAAUUUAACAUUAGUCCUUUGUUUCCUAAUAUGUAUGGUGAUAAGUUUUGGAAUCAAAA